This 424-nucleotide ribosomal RNA is filed under the name uncultured bacterium. Its description in RNAcentral is "bacterial SSU rRNA". It matches the Rfam family "Bacterial small subunit ribosomal RNA", at positions 60 to 471 of the family's 1533-position model. The record is from RNAcentral.
AGGGAAGCGCUUUUACAGAUUUCUUCGGAAUGAGGUUUUAGUGAAUGAGUGGCGGACGGGUGAGUAACGCGUGGGUAACCUGCCUCACACAGGGGGAUAACAGUUGGAAACGGCUGCUAAUACCGCAUAAGCGCACAGUACCGCAUGGUACAGUGUGAAAAACUCCGGUGGUGUGAGAUGGACCCGCGUCUGAUUAGCUAGUUGGCAGGGCAACGGCCUACCAAGGCGACGAUCAGUAGCCGACCUGAGAGGGUGACCGGCCACAUUGGGACUGAGACACGGCCCAAACUCCUACGGGAGGCAGCAGUGGGGAAUAUUGCACAAUGGGGGAAACCCUGAUGCAGCGACGCCGCGUGAGCGAAGAAGUAUUUCGGUAUGUAAAGCUCUAUCAGCANGGAAGAAGAAAAGACGUACCUGACUAGAG